UCAGCCCUAAACACAAAUAAUUUUAAAAACAAAAUUAUUCGCCAGAGUACUACCGGCAACAGCCUAAAACUCAAAGGACUUGGCGGUGCUUUAUACCCUUCUAGAGGAGCCUGUUCUAUAAUCGAUAAACCCCGAUAGACCUCACCAAUUCUUGCUAAUACAGUCUAUAUACCGCCAUCUUCAGCAAACCCUAAAAAGGAACAAAAGUAAGCGCAAUCAUAACACAUAAAAACGUUAGGUCAAGGUGUAACCUAUGAAAU
RNAcentral lists this ribosomal RNA (260 nucleotides) under Philantomba monticola (Blue duiker). RNAcentral describes it as "partial small subunit ribosomal RNA". Lineage: Eukaryota; Metazoa; Chordata; Mammalia; Artiodactyla; Bovidae. The record is from RNAcentral.